AGAUUGAACGCUGGCGGCAUGCCUAACACAUGCAAGUCGAACGGGAGUAGCAAUACUCUAGUGGCGGACGGGUGAGGAAUACGUAGGAAUUUGCCCUUAAGUGGGGGAUAACCCGGGGAAACCCGGAUUAAUACCGCAUGACCUCGAAAGAGCAAAGUGGGGGAUCGCAAGACCUCACGCUUUUGGAGAAG
Molecule: ribosomal RNA, 191 nt
Filed under: uncultured soil bacterium
Lineage: Bacteria
Description: partial 16S ribosomal RNA
Rfam family: Bacterial small subunit ribosomal RNA
Source: RNAcentral